UUUCUUUAACCAGGUCCCACUGAAAUCCAAUAUCUCUUUUACAAGGGACACCUGGGUCUCAUCGUAAAAGGUGAAAAGCGUAACUACCAUGUUCUGAACACAUGAAUCAGCCAAAUUACCAGAGAAUCUAAGUUCUGACUGAAACCAGA
This is a long non-coding RNA of Etheostoma spectabile (orangethroat darter), 149 nucleotides long. RefSeq lists it as uncharacterized. NCBI's taxonomy places the organism in Eukaryota, Metazoa, Chordata, Actinopteri, Perciformes, Percidae. The transcript has 3 exons. The record is from RefSeq and is a predicted model, not a curated record.